AGUGAACGCUGGCGGCGUGCCUAAUACAUGCAAGUCGAACGGACAAGUAAGAGCUUGCUCUUAUGAGUUAGUGGCGCACGGGUGAGUAAUGUAUAGCUAAUCUGCCCUACACUAGAGGACAACAGUUGGAAACGGCUGCUAAUACUCUAUACUCCUGUCUUACAUAAGUUAGAUAGGGAAAGUUUUUCGGUGUAGGAUGAGGCUAUAUUGUAUCAGCUAGUUGGUGAGGUAAUGGCUCACCAAGGCUAUGACGCAUAACUGGUCUGAGAGGAUGAUCAGUCACACUGGAACUGAGACACGGUCCAGACUCCUACGGGAGGCAGCAGUAGGGAAUAUUGCUCAAUGGGGGAAACCCUGAAGCAGCAACGCCGCGUGGAGGAUGACACUUUUCGGAGCGUAAACUCCUUUUGUUA
This 413-nucleotide ribosomal RNA is filed under the name Campylobacter concisus. Its description in RNAcentral is "bacterial SSU rRNA". It matches the Rfam family "Bacterial small subunit ribosomal RNA", at positions 29 to 441 of the family's 1533-position model. The record is from RNAcentral. Lineage: Bacteria; Pseudomonadati; Campylobacterota; Epsilonproteobacteria; Campylobacterales; Campylobacteraceae.